Long non-coding RNA from Papaver somniferum (opium poppy), 752 nucleotides. RefSeq lists it as uncharacterized. Lineage: Eukaryota; Viridiplantae; Streptophyta; Magnoliopsida; Ranunculales; Papaveraceae. The record is from RefSeq and is a predicted model, not a curated record. The transcript is spliced from 4 exons.
UGUUGAUGUGGUGAUAGAAGUGCAGAUAUGCGAGACAGAAUCAGAGCGGCGAUUCUUUCCUCUCAUGUUUCUUUUUCUUUCUAAACCCUAAUUUUCAAUUCUAAUGUUGUGAUCGCUGUUGAUAUUUUGCUAUUUGUUAUUGAUAUUACAGGUGAUAGCACAUGAAAGUGCAGAUAUGCGAGAGAGAAUCAAAGAGACGGUUUAAAGGUUUCAAGAUCAAUGUAGAUGUAAGUUAUUUAUAUUUCAUGGGAAGCUGAUCUAUUUGUUGUUAAUAUGCAUGCCAAGUACUAUUAUUUUGGAAGUCCGGUUUCAUGUAGAUGUCACAGUUACGCUCCAAAUAUUCGGAGUUGUUGUUUUCUAAGGCGCUGGUGGAUUCUUUGAGGACUGGGAUAGAUUGAACGUGAUAAAGCUACGUUUCUUUGUUUUUGGUUGUAUUGCAACUUCUGGCGGUAUUAUCCAGGAUAAGUUGAUUGAGCACACAUGUUGGGCUCACGACAAGCAAGUGAGAUGUAUAGCAGCUAUGUUACGUUGAAUUCCACGGGCAUUUCUUCCUCCAAAUGAAGCUUCCAUUAUCAGGGCUGCAGCUGAAUAGGCACAUUGUUUUCUUUCGAAUUGCUAAGCUCCUUUUGGGACAUCAGUGGAAGGGUUUCUUAGUUUUAAUAUUGGAAACAUGUAAUAGCUUAGCUAAUUGUGUGCUGAUUUUAGUUCAAAGUUCUUAUGAGUUGCUAAGUUCCUCUUGGGACAUCAGUGGA